Oncorhynchus tshawytscha (Chinook salmon) is the source of this 1116-nucleotide long non-coding RNA. NCBI's taxonomy places the organism in Eukaryota, Metazoa, Chordata, Actinopteri, Salmoniformes, Salmonidae. The record is from Ensembl.
AUUAAGGAGUGGCAGGCCCAGGUGCUAUUAUGGAGUGGCAGGCCCAGUUGCUAUUUACGAGUGGCAGGCCCAGGUGCUAUGUAGGAGCGGCAGGCCCAGGUGCUAUUUAACAACGGCAGGCCCAGAAGUGGCAAGCCCAGGUGAUAUUUAGGAGUGGCAGGCCCAGGUGUUAUUUAAGAGUGGCAGGCCCAGGUGUUAUUUAAGAGUGGCAGGCCCAGGUGUUAUUUAAGAGUGGCAGGCCCAGGUGUUAUUUAAGAGUGGCAGGCCCAGGUGUUAUUUAAGAGUGGCAGGCCCAGGUGUUAUUUAAGAGUGGCAGGCCCAGGUGUUAUUUAAGAGUGGCAGGCCCAGGUGUUAUUUAAGAUCGGCAGGCCCAGGUAAUAUUUAGGAGCGGCUAACCCAGGUAAUAUUUAAGAGCGGCAUGCCCAGGUGUUAUUUAAGAGCGGCAGGCCCAGGUGUUAUUUAAGAGCGGCAGGCCCAGGUGAUAUUUAAGAGCGGCAGGCCCAGGUUAUAUUUAGAAGUGGCAGGCCCAGUGAUAUUUAGAAGUGGCUGGCCCAGGUGAUAUUUAGAAUUGGCUGGCCAGGUGUUAUGUAAGAGUGGCAGGCACAGUGCUCUAAUUGAGCUUGAUGUUGGGAGAACUACACUUCACGUCAGCUGAGGUGUGAUUUUGAGCUCAACCUAUGUACAUUUGAAAUAAUCCUGAGUUUUGGUUUCCCCUGAUUGUUUUUCUCCAUAUUCUUUUUACUCUCUAUCCUAAGUUGUUGUGGACUUUUUUUUUUUUUGUCUUUUCGGCGCAAACCUAGUGGGCAUCCAUUGUGGAUAUCUGUUAGAACCCUUUACUAGUGGCUGUACCAACUUUCAGUGGGCCACAUGGUGCCUUUCAGAACCCCUUACUAGUGGCUGUACCAACUUUCAGUGGGCCACAUGGUGCCUUUCAGAACCCCUUACUAGUGGCUUUAACAACUUUCAGUGGGCCACAUGGUGCCUUUCAGAACCCAUUUGAUUUGUUGUCAGCUUUUUUCUUUGUUAGUUCCCUUUUGUGAGUUGCAUUUUGUCUUGCGGGAACAUAACACUUUAUAGUGUUCUUUUAAUUUACAUUUCUGGUGUGCCAUCUUGUUA